Hypanus sabinus (Atlantic stingray) is the source of this 2237-nucleotide long non-coding RNA. RefSeq lists it as uncharacterized. Lineage: Eukaryota; Metazoa; Chordata; Chondrichthyes; Myliobatiformes; Dasyatidae. The record is from RefSeq and is a predicted model, not a curated record. The transcript has 3 exons.
UUGAGAUAUCUUGCUCCAAAGCAAUGAGGCACUUGUGUUAACCUCCCUUAUUAUGUAUUUUAAUCCAAAUAUUUUAGGCAAAGUAAUAGAUUAUUUCUGAUUUAUGCUGAUUUAAGUUGAUGGAACCGCAUUUACGAAUUGCAAUAUAAUUCUGACCGAACCUGCGACGUUAGCUCUAUUUUGCUUUCCACAAAUGCUCGUAAACUUGCUGAGUAUUUCCAGCAUUUUCUGAUUUGUAUUUACUUGCUACUUUGAUUAUAUACAGUAGUAGAUUUAAGGAACAUACUCCAUUCAUCUGGAUGAUGCCUGGAAUGGGACCCGCUCUCGGGGUCUCAUGACUGGCUGUUAUUCGAUAUACCAAGGGCGUGGCCUGGAAGAUUAGCACGCCUUCAGAGCUUCAGGAUUUCGUGACUGUGGAGGCAGGCGGACUUUAAGUCAGUGCAUCUGCAAGAAUGCAUGCAGGAAAUAGGUGUCAUGGGAGAUGGAAGAUCUCUGGCUGUGGGCACAGAGCUCGAAUGCAAUGGACCUUUAACAUUGUAAAUCACUUGGGUGUGAUUCUGGAAUGCUUAGAGUCUGUAAUUUGCAGAUCGUUUGGGUGUUUCAGCGCUCUGCAGUCUUCAAGAGGAUUCCAGGACAGCGCGGGCAAAUCUCAUGAUGAGAAGGCUUCAGGAUGGGGCGUGAUCCAAUGUUCGACCCCAUUUCACCAAUUAAAGCAACGUGGGAGAUUGAAACAUAGAGAUGAACACAAAAGUUGAGUGCCUUUUGAUCGCUAGUGGGAUCGCUCUGCUGCACGAACGGAGAUCACUCUGCUACAGGAGAGGGGAGACUGCCGUUUGAUCACUGGUGAGAUUGCUCUGAUGCCAGAGAAGGAAAGGCCUCCCACUGUGCCCAGAGAAUGAUACCCAGGUUUUCUGCAUUUUGAAUAUGGACUUGGACCAUAGACCUUUUUUCAGUCUUAACGUUUUUUUAUAUUUUGUGUUUUUCACCUGAUCUCUCAUUUUUUAAUGUGCAGUGAGGGGGAUUUAGGGGUCGAUGUACCUGUUCCAAUUUUUUGUAUGGAGAGGAGGGAUUUGGAGGUUGAUGAUGGUGCUGCCAUUCUCUUCUUUCUUGGUUUCAUGGCAAUCUGGAGAAGAAGAAUUUCAGAGUUGUAUAAUUGUAGAAUGAAUGAACCUCUGAACAUUUAUCAUCAUACAUUUAUUUCUUUUAAAAGGGAAGGCAGUGUAGUAUACGUAUGCACCAAAUGAUGUGACCUCCACUAUAUCAGCCCUGCAAGUAGUAGAAUGCCAUUCACCUUUAAGAAAGGAUGUUACAUUAGAAAUUUCAAUUUUAUUACUUGCCUUACUGAAUGGCUGUAUAGAAGAAAUCAUAAACAUUACAGUAAAAAAAACAGAAAAAGCUAGAAACCAUGGGUGAAUGCUUGAUCAACAAAGUAUAUCUUAAGGACAAGAGUUUCUGCAGAUGCUGGAAAUCUUGAGCAAAGUAAAAAGUGUUGGAGGAACUCAGCAAGUCAGGCAGAAUCAAUGGAGGAGAAUAAACAGUCGACAUGUUGGGCCUGGACCGGAGGAAGGGUCUCAGCUUGAAACGUCAACUGUUUAUUUCCCUCCAUGGAUGUUGCCUGACUUGCUGAGUUCCUCCAGCACUCUAUGUGUAUAUUUUAAGGAAACUCUGAAAGUGUGAGAAAGAGAUGGAGGUGUAAUUGGUGAAUGAAAGGAGCCUACAACAUAGAACAUAUUUCUAUAAGCUUGGUUGCAGCAAUGGGGUGUAGAAAGUGAAGAGGCUUAAGACAUCAGUGUUCCCGUUUUUAAAAGCUAGCAAAGUUAGUGAUGGGGUGGCCAUGUAAAGUUUGAUUGUAUGGAUAACAAUUUUUAAAGUCAAAAUAUCGAUGGUCAGAAACCAAGCUAUGCCAAUGGUUAAAGUGUGAAGUGAUCAUGACAGCUACAAGGUUGCAGUGUUUGGAUGAACCCAAGCUGAGAGAGGAAUCAAAACAGGAAGCCAGACACCUGAACGUUGGAAUAUCAUUUCUGAGGUAACCAGGUAAUUGUUUUAGCCAAAGAUCUACUGUAACAAAGGGAAAAUGUGGUUUGUUUAUAGUGAUGCUAAUACACUAGUGAUAUGUGAACAUGGAGUUAAUUUUUAUCCCAUAUGUUAGAAUCAAUAAGUACUAUUCAGUCAGCAUUGUGUCCUAAUAUAUUGUACACAUUUUCAAGUUCUUUGAUCUAAUAAACUAUUCUAUCUGG